Molecule: ribosomal RNA, 378 nt
Filed under: uncultured bacterium
Lineage: Bacteria
Description: bacterial SSU rRNA
Rfam family: Bacterial small subunit ribosomal RNA
Source: RNAcentral
UAAUACAGAGGUCUCGAGCGUUAGUCGGAUUCAUUGGGCUUAAAGCGUACGUAGGCGGAUAUGCAGGCGUCGUGUGAAAGCCCUCGGCUCAACCGAGGAAUUGCACGGCGAACCGCAUGUCUUGAGAUCGGUAGGGGCGGUCGGAACGAUAGGUGGAGUGGUGAAAUGCGUUGAUAUCUAUCGGAACGCCGAAGGUGAAGACAGGCCGCUGGGCCGAUUCUGACGCUGAGGUACGAAAGCGUGGGGAGCGAACGGGAUUAGAUACCCCGGUAGUCCACGCCGUAAACGAUGUGCACUAGAUCGAGGAGGGUUUGACCCCAUUCUCGGUCGAAGUAAAAACGUUGAGUGCACCGCCUGGGGAGUACGGUCGCAAGGCUA